RNAcentral lists this long non-coding RNA (213 nucleotides) under Populus tremula. RNAcentral's name for it is "long non-coding RNA (PTRE_LNC002336)". Lineage: Eukaryota; Viridiplantae; Streptophyta; Magnoliopsida; Malpighiales; Salicaceae. The record is from RNAcentral.
UUAUCUUCUUCUUUGUGGCAGACUUCAAAAGAGGUGUUCAGACAGAGUAGCAGCAGGAUCGCACAGAUUAACAGAUGACGUAGAAAAUUAGUACAAGUGGAGAGAGAGAGAGAGAGGGCAAAGAGAUGGGAUGGUGAGUUUAUUAUGGUUUGGUCUUUGCUUUUUACUGAUUGGUUUUUGGAGGCUUUUAAAAGAAGAGAAAGGACAAGACCC